RNAcentral lists this ribosomal RNA (492 nucleotides) under uncultured bacterium. RNAcentral describes it as "partial 16S ribosomal RNA". It matches the Rfam family "Bacterial small subunit ribosomal RNA", at positions 28 to 507 of the family's 1533-position model. The record is from RNAcentral.
GAUGAACGCUAGCUACAGGCUUAACACAUGCAAGUCGAGGGGAAACGACAUCGAAAGCUUGCUUUUGAUGGGCGUCGACCGGCGCACGGGUGAGUAACGCGUAUCCAACCUGCCCAUCACUUGGGGAUAACCUUGCGAAAGUAAGACUAAUACCCAAUGAUAUCUCUAGAAGACAUCUGAAAGAGAUUAAAGAUUUAUCGGUGAUGGAUGGGGAUGCGUCUGAUUAGCUUGUUGGCGGGGUAACGGCCCACCAAGGCAACGAUCAGUAGGGGUUCUGAGAGGAAGGUCCCCCACAUUGGAACUGAGACACGGUCCAAACUCCUACGGGAGGCAGCAGUGAGGAAUAUUGGUCAAUGGGCGAGAGCCUGAACCAGCCAAGUAGCGUGCAGGAAGACGGCCCUAUGGGUUGUAAACUGCUUUUAUAAGGAAAUAAAGUGAGAGUCGUGACUCUUUUUGUAUGUACCUUAUGAAUAAGGACCGGCUAAUUCCGUG